This 429-nucleotide ribosomal RNA is filed under the name Chloroflexota bacterium. RNAcentral describes it as "Chloroflexi bacterium partial 16S ribosomal RNA". It matches the Rfam family "Bacterial small subunit ribosomal RNA", at positions 355 to 776 of the family's 1533-position model. Lineage: Bacteria; Bacillati; Chloroflexota. The record is from RNAcentral.
UGGGGAAUAUUGCACAAUGGGCGCAAGCCUGAUGCAGCCAUGCCGCGUGUGUGAAGAAGGCCUUCGGGUUGUAAAGCACUUUCAGCGGGGAGGAAGGCGAUAAGGUUAAUAACCUUGUCGAUUGACGUUACCCGCAGAAGAAGCACCGGCUAACUACGUGCCAGCAGCCGCGGUAAUACGUAGGUGGCAAGCGUUGUCCGGAUUUAUUGGGCGUAAAGCGAGCGCAGGCGGUUUGUUAAGUCUGAUGUGAAAGCCCCCGGCUCAACCGGGGAGGGUCAUUGGAAACUGGGAGACUUGAGUGCAGAAGAGGAGAGUGGAAUUCCAUGUGUAGCGGUGAAAUGCGUAGAUAUAUGGAGGAACACCAGUGGCGAAGGCGGCUCUCUGGUCUGUAACUGACGCUGAGGCUCGAAAGCGUGGGGAGCAAACAGG